GCAAGUCGAGCGAGAACGGUAUCUUCGGAGACUUAUUAGAGCGGCGGACGGGUGAGUAACACGUGAGUAAUGUGCCUCUUAGUGGGGGAUAACAAUUGGACACGAUUGCUAAUACCGCAUAAGACCACAAAAUCUUCGGAUUUCGGGGUCAAAGCCUUCGGGCGCUAAAAGAUCGACUCGCGGACCAUUAGGUAGUUGGUGAGGUAAUGGCUCACCAAGCCCGAGAUGGGUAGCUGGUCUGAGAGGAUGAUC
RNAcentral lists this ribosomal RNA (252 nucleotides) under uncultured bacterium. Its description in RNAcentral is "partial 16S ribosomal RNA". It matches the Rfam family "Bacterial small subunit ribosomal RNA", at positions 57 to 305 of the family's 1533-position model. The record is from RNAcentral.